GAUGAAGAACGUAGCGAAAUGCGAUACGUAAUGUGAAUUGCAGAAUUCAGUGAAUCAUCGAGUCUUUGAACGCACAUUGCGCCCUCUGGUAUUCCGGAGGGCAUGCCUGUCCGAGCGUCAUUGCUGCCCUCAAGCACGGCUUGUGUGUUGGGCUCCGUCCCCAGAUCCCGGGGGACGGGCCCGAAAGGCAGCGGCGGCACCGCGUCCGGUCCUCGAGCGUAUGGGGCUUUGUCACCCGCUCUGUAGGCCCGGCCGGCGCUUGCCGAUCAACCAAAUUUUUAUCCAGGUUGACCUCGGAUCAGGUAGGGAUACCCGCUGAACUUAAGCAUAUCAAUAAGCGGAGGA
Molecule: unclassified non-coding RNA, 345 nt
Filed under: soil metagenome
Description: partial contains 5.8S ribosomal RNA, internal transcribed spacer 2, and large subunit ribosomal RNA
Rfam family: 5.8S ribosomal RNA (bases 1-120)
Source: RNAcentral